This 270-nucleotide long non-coding RNA is filed under the name Elaeis guineensis (African oil palm). Its description in RNAcentral is "long non-coding RNA (EGUI_LNC041672)". The record is from RNAcentral. Lineage: Eukaryota; Viridiplantae; Streptophyta; Magnoliopsida; Arecales; Arecaceae.
GUCGGACAUGAGGUAAGAGCUCCUCCUCUCCUUGGAUUCUCCUUUAUCUAAAGUUCUUUGUUGUGACAUAAAUCCAUCUUUAGAUCGGGUUGGCUAGAGUCGGGCAGCAACGAUAGGUCAGCGAUGAUAGGAUUGUAGCGACGAGACCAGCAAGACAAGUCUUCAAUCGGAGUUGGCUCCGAUGGGAAUCCUCUGAUACUCAAGUUAAAUCUCUGAAAUAGAUAGAAAGGAGUGAGUGCUUAGGGGGUCCUCUAUAGACCUUUAUUUAUA